GCAUCAUUACCGCACCCUCCCCUGUGCAACCCUGGUUAGCCUCUCAUAAGAAACACAAUACAGGGAGGGUGUCCUAGUCUCCCAGAGGUCCGGAUGGGUUCCCCAAAAUGAGAGGGUCUCCCAAACAUUCUGAGCUGUGAGUAAUAAUGGAUUCAGAACCUCCGACUUCGUCCUCUACAGCUAUAAGUGGUGUAAGUUCGAGGCAGAAAGACAAGAUUUUUCUGAUGGGAUAUAUGUCCCAUCAAAUUACUGGCAGUAAGUUGCCAUCCAAUGGUCAAGUUUUCCGCAGUUUGUUUUACAAUAAACGUCAAGUUAAACUAGAAACCAGAGAUGUGGCAUGGCUCACAAUCCAGGAAGUUCUACUUUUUUAGCAGGGACCUAAGAUACCUACCAAACAUUUGAAAGAUUGUAUUGUGAAGCUUGAAAAACUUCACGAGGAGUGGAGAAAACUGCAAAAAAAUGCAACCAGAAGCGUAAGUCAAGCUCCAAGUAAAAAAGUGGAAGCUUUUAAGUCAAGCCUUGAUGACCUGUUUGAUAUUGCACUCCAGGACGCGCUGAAGAACACAAAUGAAGAAAGAUAGUUUUUGCUCCUUCAGAGACAAAAGGAACGUACUGGCUGCAUGGGAGAAGUUGAUAUAAAAUUCCUGCGAGCAGAAGAACGAAGAACACAGAGAAAAGCAGCUGAAACGAAUACGAAGAUGUAGAAAUUGAAUUUUUAAGCACAAGCAAUGCCUCAGAAGAAGGCACUUAUAGCUGUAGAGGACGAAGUCAAAGUUUCUGAAUUCAUUAUUACAGCUCUGGAAA
Molecule: long non-coding RNA, 804 nt
Organism: Pseudophryne corroboree (corroboree frog)
Lineage: Eukaryota; Metazoa; Chordata; Amphibia; Anura; Myobatrachidae
Exons: 3
Source: RefSeq, a predicted model, not a curated record